This 440-nucleotide ribosomal RNA is filed under the name uncultured bacterium. RNAcentral describes it as "partial 16S ribosomal RNA". It matches the Rfam family "Bacterial small subunit ribosomal RNA", at positions 338 to 795 of the family's 1533-position model. The record is from RNAcentral.
CCUACGGGGAGCAGCAGUGGGGAAUAUUGCACAAUGGGGGAAACCCUGAUGCAGCGACGCCGCGUGAGUGAAGAAGUAUUUCGGUACGUAAAGCUCUAUCAGCAGGGAAGAAAAUGACGGUACCUGACUAAGAAGCCCCAGCUAACUACGUGCCAGCAGCCGCGGUAAUACGUAGGGGGCAAGCGUUAUCCGGAUUUACUGGGUGUAAAGGGAGCGUAGACGGCAGCGCAAGUCUGGAGUGAAAUCCCAUGGCUUAACCAUGGAACUGCUUUGGAAACUGUGCAGCUAGAGUGCAGGAGAGGUAAGCGGAAUUCCUAGUGUAGCGGUGAAAUGCGUAGAUAUUAGGAGGAACACCAGUGGCGAAGGCGGCUUACUGGACUGUAACUGACGUUGAGGCUCGAAAGCGUGGGGAGCAAACAGGAUUAGAUACCCGGGUAGUC